RNAcentral lists this non-coding RNA (30 nucleotides) under Mus musculus (house mouse). The record is from RNAcentral. Lineage: Eukaryota; Metazoa; Chordata; Mammalia; Rodentia; Muridae.
UGCUCAGGAUUGUCGCAUUCCUCCCUCAGU